UCCUGGCGUUUUGGUGCCAAUAACAACAGCACAAGUAACAAACAGUAAUGCUAAAAGCAGCACUCCAGGAAGCUCAUCCAGGCGACCAAGUGCCCAGCCCUCUGAGGCCAGCCCCUCUUGCUCUGCCUGGUCUCAGCAGGAGGAAAAGGCUCAGGGGCUGCCCGCGGGGUCCCCUCCAGACUCUACCCGGGCUCUGAGCUGGACCACCAGGCAAAGGCUCCCGCCCCAGCCCCAGCCCAGAGCGUCUGUCCUACGGCUCCGCGCAGAGAAUAGAGAAAAACGCCUCCCACCACCAUCACCUCCGAAGAGACUAGCCAUAGAAACAUACAGUGCUUGUGCCAACGUUCUGGAAUUUGCCACUGCUGAUCCAUCCAGCUGAAUCUGACCAGCUUGAAUGUAGUCUCCUUGCCAUGGACCAGGUGCUGUGCUGGCUACUGGCGUUGUUUCAAGGAGAUAUACAACCAGCGACUGCUCUCAGGGUGCUUACAAUCCAGGAGCGGGACCCUGAUAUUUAGCACAAUAAAAGAAUCGAAGGCAGAGACUGAUAGAGUUUAUUAAAGGAUCAAAAAUGAAAUUCUGUUUGAGUCUGGAGUAGAGAGAGAUUCUUCUCAGAGGGGAAGGAGAAGUUUCCAUUGAAGAAUGACUCUUGGCCUGGGCUUUGAAGAAUGGACAUUAUUUGGAUAUGAGGAAAAGGGUAUUUAUUUGUCAUUUCGGGUUGAGCGACCUUCCGUGGUGGAAGCUCGCGGCUGGGAAAGCACAGGACGGAUUUGAGGGACUGCUGUGACUGCACUGAAGCCACACGACAUCAGGGAAAGGUGAGACUGAUGAAGGAGGUGGAGGCCGGGGGGGCCCUGGAGAUCCUGCGGACAGAUG
RNAcentral lists this long non-coding RNA (873 nucleotides) under Dasypus novemcinctus (nine-banded armadillo). RNAcentral describes it as "lncRNA (ENSDNOG00000052432.1)". The record is from RNAcentral. Lineage: Eukaryota; Metazoa; Chordata; Mammalia; Cingulata; Dasypodidae.